CCUACGGGAGGCAGCAGUGGGGAAUAUUGCACAAUGGGGGAAACCCUGAUGCAGCGACGCCGCGUGAGUGAAGAAGUAUUUCGGUAUGUAAAGCUCUAUCAGCAGGGAAGAAAAUGACGGUACCUGAUUAAGAAGCCCCGGCUAACUACGUGCCAGCAGCCGCGGUAAUACGUAGGGGGCAAGCGUUAUCCGGAUGUACUGGGUGUAAAGGGAGCGUAGACGGGAGUACAAGUCUGGAGUGAAAUGCCGGGGCUUAACCCCGGGACUGCUUUGGAAACUGUGCAGCUAGAGUGGAGGAGAGGUAAGUGGAAUGCCUAGUGUAGCGGUGAAAUGCGUAGAUAUUAGGAGGAACACCAGUGGCGAAGGCGGCUUACUGGACUGUAACUGACGUUGAGGCUCGAAAGCGUGGGGAGCAAACAGGAUUAGAUACCCCAGUAGUC
This 440-nucleotide ribosomal RNA is filed under the name uncultured bacterium. Its description in RNAcentral is "partial 16S ribosomal RNA". It matches the Rfam family "Bacterial small subunit ribosomal RNA", at positions 338 to 795 of the family's 1533-position model. The record is from RNAcentral.